Molecule: small RNA, 526 nt
Filed under: Pan troglodytes (chimpanzee)
Lineage: Eukaryota; Metazoa; Chordata; Mammalia; Primates; Hominidae
Description: retained intron
Source: RNAcentral
AGCAAUCCUUAAUUAACAUCUUCAGUUGCCUGUUUGACCUUACCAAUUUACAAGGUGAAAAUGACCAGUUUUACAUACUCAGUGAUAGCUGUUACUGUAGGCGAGCCCCUCGAAUCGUUAGGCAUGCUCAGUGCUGGGGGUUCUGGGAGGGUUGCUGCCAGCCUGACGUGGCUCAUGUCUCUCUGAGACAGGUGUAUCUGUCCCUGCUUCGGAUGUACCUGUCGCCCCCCAGCAUUCACUGCCUGGGGCCAAUCAAGCUGGAACUACUGGAGCCAAAAGCCAACCUCCAGGCCGCUCUGCAGGUCCUCGAGCUGCACCACAGCAAACUGGACACCACCAAGGCCCUCAACCUUCUGCCAGCAAACACUCAGAUCAAUGACAUACGCAUCUUCCUGGAAAAGGUCUUGGAAGAAAAUGCACAAAAGAAACGGUUCAAUCAAGUGCUCAAGAACCUUCUCCAUGCAGAAUUCCUGAGGGUCCAGGAAGAGCGGAUUUUACACCAGCAGGUGAAGUGCAUCAUCACAGA